CGAUUAGCUCAGUUGGUAGAGCACCUCCCUUACAAGGAGGGGGUCAGUGGUU
This 52-nucleotide transfer RNA is filed under the name Providencia alcalifaciens F90-2004. RNAcentral's name for it is "tRNA-Val". It matches the Rfam family "tRNA", at positions 8 to 53 of the family's 71-position model. Rfam says of the family: Transfer RNA (tRNA) molecules are approximately 80 nucleotides in length. Their secondary structure includes four short double-helical elements and three loops (D, anti-codon, and T loops). The record is from RNAcentral. RNAcentral also lists the same sequence under 3 other names. Lineage: Bacteria; Pseudomonadati; Pseudomonadota; Gammaproteobacteria; Enterobacterales; Morganellaceae.